RNAcentral lists this ribosomal RNA (473 nucleotides) under uncultured bacterium. RNAcentral describes it as "bacterial SSU rRNA". It matches the Rfam family "Bacterial small subunit ribosomal RNA", at positions 335 to 798 of the family's 1533-position model. The record is from RNAcentral.
ACUCCUACGGGAGGCAGCAGUGGGGAAUAUUGGACAAUGGGGGGAACCCUGAUCCAGCCAUGCCGCGUGUGUGAAGAAGGCCUUAUGGUUGUAAAGCACUUUAAGCGAGGAGGAGGCUACUGAGACUAAUACUCUUGGAUAGUGGACGUUACUCGCAGAAUAAGCACCGGCUAACUACGUGCCAGCAGCCGCGGUAAUACGUAGGGUGCGAGCGUUAAUCGGAAUUACUGGGCGUAAAGCGUGCGCAGGCGGUUAUGUAAGACAGGUGUGAAAUCCCCGAGCUCAACUUGGGAAUUGCACUUGUGACUGCAUAACUANAGUGCGGCAGAGGGGGAUGGAAUUCCGCGUGUAGCAGUGAAAUGCGUAGAUAUGCGGAGGAACACCGAUGGCGAAGGCAAUCCCCUGGGCCUGCACUGACGCUCAUGCACGAAAGCGUGGGGAGCAAACAGGAUUAGAUACCCUGGUAGGUCAGU